RNAcentral lists this ribosomal RNA (1356 nucleotides) under uncultured marine eukaryote. RNAcentral's name for it is "SSU rRNA". It matches the Rfam family "Eukaryotic small subunit ribosomal RNA", at positions 409 to 1779 of the family's 1831-position model. The record is from RNAcentral.
CGCAUUUACAGGGAAGGAGCAGGCGCGCAAUUACCCAAUCCUGACUCAGGGAGGUAGUGACAAGAAAUAACAAUAAACCGGCUUAUGCCGGUUUAAUUGGAAUGAGUACAAUUUAAACAUCUUAACGAGGAACAAUUGGAGGGCAAGUCUGGUGCCAGCAGCCGCGGUAAUUCCAGCUCCAAUAGCGUAUACUAAAGUUGUUGCAGUUAAAAAGCUCGUAGUUGGAUUUCUGUGGGGACGGAGCGGCCGGCCGCACAUCGCGGUUCGAGCUAGCGCUUUCCCUACAUCCUGCCGCGAACCGUGCUACCAUUAGUUUGGUGGCGCCGGGGAUCGGCUCGAUUACUUUGAGAAAAAUAGAGUGUUCAAAGCAGGCCACAUGCCUUGAAUAAGUUAGCAUGGAAUAAUAACUAAGGACUUCGGUUCUAUUUUGUUGGUGUUCGGGACUGAAGUAAUGAUUGAUAGGGACAGUUGGGGCGGUCUGUAUUCCAAAGCGAGAGGUGAAAUUCUUAGACCUUCGGAAGACGAACAGCUGCGAAAGCGUUCCGCAAGGAUGUUCCCUUUGAUCAAGAACGAAAGUUGGGGGAUCGAAGACGAUCAGAUACCGUCGUAGUCUCAACUAUAAACUAUACCAGCUAGGGAUCGGCCAACGUUAUUUUAUACCGACUUGGUCGGCACCUUAUGAGAAAUCAAAGCAUCUGGGUUCCGGGGGGAGUAUGGUCGCAAGGCUGAAACUUAAAGGAAUUGACGGAAGGGCACCACCAGCCGUGGAGCCUGUGGCUUAAUUUGACUCAACACGGGAAAACUUACCAGGUCCAGACAUAGUAAGGAUUGACAGAUUGAUAGCUCUUUCUUGAUUCUGUGGGUGGUGGUGCAUGGCCGUUCUUAGUUGGUGGAGUGAUUUGUCUGGUUAAUUCCGUUAACGAACGAGACCCCAGCCUGCUAAAUAGCGCGCGUGAGCUUUGCUCGCGGCGAGCUUCUUAGAGGGACUAUGAUGCGCGAUAGCACAUGGAAGUUUGGGGCAAUAACAGGUCUGUGAUGCCCUUAGAUGUUCUGGGCCGCACACGGGCUACACUGGCGCCUGCAACGAGCAUAUCAGUUGGCCCGAGAGGGUCUUGGCUAAUCUUUUGAACCGGCGCCGUGCUUGGGAUUGACCUUUGCAAUUGUUGGUCAUGCAACGAGGAAUGCCUUGUAAACGCGAGUCAUCAGCUCGCAUUGAAUACGUCCCUGCCCUUUGUACACACCGCCCGUCGUUCCUACCGAUGAAUGUUCCGAUGAAAUUUUCGGAGAGCACCUGUGAACUUGGCUCUGCCUUGCGAACGGGAGGCUCAAAGUCACUAAAAUCUAAACCUUAAAAGG